UACGUAGGGGGCAAGCGUUGUCCGGAUUUAUUGGGCGUAAAGAGCGUGUAGGCGGCCAUACAGGUCCGUUGUGAAAACUGGAGGCUUAACCUCCAGACGUCGAUGGAAACCGUAUGGCUAGAGUCCGGAAGAGGAGAGUGGAAUUCCUGGUGUAGCGGUGAAAUGCGCAGAUAUCAGGAAGAACACCCGUGGCGAAGGCGGCUCUCUGGGACGGUUCUGACGCUGAGACGCGAAAGCGUGGGGAGCGAACAGG
RNAcentral lists this ribosomal RNA (253 nucleotides) under uncultured bacterium. RNAcentral's name for it is "partial 16S ribosomal RNA". It matches the Rfam family "Bacterial small subunit ribosomal RNA", at positions 524 to 776 of the family's 1533-position model. The record is from RNAcentral.